GCCGGUGUAGCUCAGUGGUAGAGCAACUGAUUCGUAAUCAGUAGGCCGUCGGUUCAAAUCCGAUCACCGGCUCCA
Molecule: transfer RNA, 75 nt
Filed under: Candidatus Babelota bacterium
Lineage: Bacteria
Description: tRNA-Thr
Rfam family: tRNA
About the family: Transfer RNA (tRNA) molecules are approximately 80 nucleotides in length. Their secondary structure includes four short double-helical elements and three loops (D, anti-codon, and T loops).
Source: RNAcentral